This 520-nucleotide ribosomal RNA is filed under the name uncultured bacterium. RNAcentral's name for it is "bacterial SSU rRNA". It matches the Rfam family "Bacterial small subunit ribosomal RNA", at positions 950 to 1469 of the family's 1533-position model. The record is from RNAcentral.
UUCGAAGCAACGCGAAGAACCUUACCAGGUCUUGACAUCCCACUGCCCGGUAUAGAGAUAUACCUUUCCCUUCGGGGACAGUGGUGACAGGUGGUGCAUGGUUGUCGUCAGCUCGUGUCGUGAGAUGUUGGGUUAAGUCCCGCAACGAGCGCAACCCUUGAUCUUAGUUGCCAGCAUUUAGUUGGGCACUCUAAGGUGACUGCCGGUGACAAACCGGAGGAAGGUGGGGAUGACGUCAAAUCAUCAUGCCCCUUAUGACCUGGGCUACACACGUGCUACAAUGGAUGGUACAAAGGGCUGCAAGACCGCGAGGUCAAGCCAAUCCCAUAAAACCAUUCUCAGUUCGGAUUGCAGGCUGCAACUCGCCUGCAUGAAGCUGGAAUCGCUAGUAAUCGCGGAUCAGCAUGCCGCGGUGAAUACGUUCCCGGGCCUUGUACACACCGCCCGUCACACCACGAGAGUUUGUAACACCCGAAGUCGGUGGGGUAACCGUAAGGAGCCAGCCGCCUAAGGUGGGACA